GCGCCCGUAGCUCAGAUGGAUAGAGUACCUGGCUACGAACCAGGUGGUCGGGAGUUCGAAUCUCUCCGGGCGCG
Molecule: transfer RNA, 74 nt
Filed under: Candidatus Contendobacter odensis Run_B_J11
Lineage: Bacteria; Pseudomonadati; Pseudomonadota; Gammaproteobacteria; Candidatus Competibacteraceae
Rfam family: tRNA
About the family: Transfer RNA (tRNA) molecules are approximately 80 nucleotides in length.
Source: Rfam by way of RNAcentral